Molecule: unclassified non-coding RNA, 194 nt
Filed under: plant metagenome
Description: partial contains small subunit ribosomal RNA and internal transcribed spacer 1
Rfam family: Eukaryotic small subunit ribosomal RNA (bases 1-46)
Source: RNAcentral
AAGUCGUAACAAGGUCUCCGUAGGUGAACCUGCGGAGGGAUCAUUACUGAGUGAGGGCCUUCGGGCUCGACCUCCAACCCUUUGUGAACACAACUUGUUGCUUCGGGGGCGACCCUGCCGUUUCGACGGCGAGCGCCCCCGGAGGCCUUCAAACACUGCAUCUUUGCGUCGGAGUUUAAGUAGAUUAAACAAAA